RNAcentral lists this transfer RNA (66 nucleotides) under Trimusculus reticulatus. RNAcentral describes it as "tRNA-Glu". Lineage: Eukaryota; Metazoa; Mollusca; Gastropoda; Ellobiida; Trimusculidae. The record is from RNAcentral.
GUCUAAGAGGUGUAAUCACGCUAUCUUUUCGAGAUAGAGUAGGGAAUAUUUUAUUCCCCUUAGAUA